GAUCAUGGCUCAGGAUGAACGCUGGCGGCGCGCCUAACACAUGCAAGUCGAACGGACGAUGAAAAGCUUGCUUUUCAAAGUUAGUGGCGGACGGGUGAGUAACGCGUGGGUAACCUGCCUCAUACAGGGAAUAGCAGCCGGAAACGGCUGAUAAAACCGCAUAAGCGCACAGUGCCGCAUGGCACAGUGUGAAAAACUCCGGUGGUAUGAGAUGGACCCGCGUCUGAUUAGCUGG
This 235-nucleotide ribosomal RNA is filed under the name uncultured bacterium. RNAcentral's name for it is "partial 16S ribosomal RNA". It matches the Rfam family "Bacterial small subunit ribosomal RNA", at positions 15 to 248 of the family's 1533-position model. The record is from RNAcentral.